RNAcentral lists this long non-coding RNA (1089 nucleotides) under Takifugu rubripes (torafugu). RNAcentral describes it as "lncRNA (ENSTRUG00000026095.1)". Lineage: Eukaryota; Metazoa; Chordata; Actinopteri; Tetraodontiformes; Tetraodontidae. The record is from RNAcentral.
AUGCCUUACUCCAGCAGCCUCGCACGAAUCCAACAGAGCAGUCUUUCAGGGAUUUUUGUCUUGCUGCUGACUCAAUGUGGACUCAGCUCAGGUAAGGGGGUGCCGACUACACAAUCAAACACUUUGAGUUAUGCUUACAGCUCUUACAUUUAGUUAUGUUUGCCAGAAUUAUCUGGCGUGACCACAGAGCUCGGCCUUGGUAAAGAUGUGGACGUGUGUCCAGAAGGAAAAUACUUCUCCCAUCAGUUUUGUUUAGAGUGUCCUUCCGGUCAUUAGUAAGUUGUCUUUUGUUAUCUAUUAAGCGCAAACAUGAGCGUUUGUACCAAAAAAAAUGAAUUAAUUUUACUAAUUUUGUGUGUUAUUAUCUCCAGUGCGCCUUAAAUAUUGCAUUUUUGUUCAUAGUUGUCCUGGCAAAGCAUCUGCACCUCGCAGAUGUCCACCAGGAACAUUCAACUUACACACAGGGAAAAGCACCCUUGGUGACUGUAAGGUAACGGCACUGUUUACCACUAGAGUUUGCAAAACCAUGUCUCUAAUUAGGAGGCACUCUUAAUUGUGUGUGAUGCUGAACAGUCAAUUGUUGUUGCAGUGAGUGGUCUGUAUGUUCUAGCCUUGUUUUCCAGGUCUGAUCAGUUCAGAAGACAAAGUGGACUGCAGGCUGUGCCCAGCAGGAUUCCAGUGUGAUCCAGCCACUGGGACGCUGUCUGUGUGCCCAUCGGGACAAUAUUCUCCAGAGGGAGUCCUGAAGUGUCUCUCCUGCCCUGUAGAUUCAGUCUGCCCCUCUGGGUUUCCAAUCAAAGUAAAUAUGACAUAAGAAACCACUUCUCCAAAGCUGUGUUCUGUAUUUGGAGACCAUUAAAUCAGACUCCCUUUACUUCUCCUCAAUAUUUCUAGUGUGGCCCUGGCAAGGAACCCAACAUAGAGAAGACUUCAUGUAAUGACUGCCUCCCGGGCUUCUAUUCCACUGUCUGCACCAUCCAGUGUCUGGAGUGUCCUGCAGGUUAAACCUGAAAUGACAGCAGAAUUUAAACAAAUCUGAUUUAAAGGUAACAAAAGGAUUAAAGCUGUACUGUGUGUCUGCCAUAGGGA